GCUUGAUAUGUUAACCCAGUUUCAACAUUAACUUACACAAAUGUACAUAGAGUCUCGCAAAAUCGAAAACAAAACCGAGUGUAUUAAAACCUUAGCAAAUUACUAAGAAAGUGGACAUUUAAACUGUUAAUGUUUCGCUAACAUUGGAAUCUCUAUUUUUCUGAAAACCAUUUAUUGGGAAAAAAGUAUUAACGACCAUCCAAUGAUGAUUUCCUAAAACACACCAUCAAUACAACAAGUGCAACUCACAGCGGCGACAAAAUGGGACAAAUAUUUUCGUCACAAAUCCCUGCUCACGAACUUGCCACUUCGUCCACUUCUGAAUCAGCAAAUGUACAACUUGUGAAGUUGAAUAAGUCAGCAGCUGCACGCCUUGUGAUAGCGAUCGACUUCGGUUCUUUUGCAAGUGGAUACGCAUACCAGUUUUUGUCAGAAUUUGAAAACAAGCCAUUGGAAAUGCAUAUCAACACGCGUUGGAAACACGGUGGACAAUCUGCGAACAAAACCCAAACAGCACUACUAUUGAAGCCUGACCUUUUGCUGGGAGAGUUUGGAUAUGCAGCACAACGCAAGUUCAGAACCAUUCAUACAAACGAGAAGGAUGGCGACAACUGGUACUAUUUCGAGGGCUUUAAAAUGACUCUUUACCACAAUCGUGACAACUUAAGUUCAAAUAGUACAAUAGAAGAUGUGAAAGGUCGACAUGUGCCUGCUACACUUGUUUUCGGGAGGUCAAUACAGUACAUUAAAGAACACGUACUCAACAAUAUGCGAGAGAAUGGUAUGGCGUACAUUGAAGAUGUACAAAGUGGGUGAUCACUGUCCCUGCCAUAUGGACAGAUCGUGCAAAAGGCUUGAUGAGAGAAGCGGCAAGAGAAGUGGCUGGAAUUCGGUUAAAUAACUUGACGAUAGAACCCGAAUGUGCUGCCAUCUACUGCAGUCAUCUUACCCGAAACCAACUUGAAAUUCAGGACGAUGAACAACAAUUGCGUUACAUUAAGAAACCUGGCUCCGUUAUCAUAGUGGUCGAUAUUGGAGGAGGGACUGUGGACGUCACCACUGUGCGAGUAAGAGAAACAGAAACUCUGGAGCACGUGCAUAAGUCAGGAGGUGGGCCGUGUGGCGGAAUGAAAACUAAUGAUGAGUUUUUCAGAAUGCUUGAACAAAUCAUAGGUCAAGAUGUCAUGGGGGAGUUUAUCAAAGAAAACCUUCAAGAUUACUUCGAUUUAAAAGCGGACUUUGAAACAGCCAAGCGUGAGGUUUUGGGACAGGACACGGAUGAGCGAUUCAAUGUACGACUUCCAGCUCCUCUCAACAAAAUAUGGGAACGCAAAUGAAGACAAAACAUCAAAGAUUUAUUACAAAAUGCAAAUAUUCCAGGGAUAAAAUUUGCCAAUUCGCGCCUAUAUUUUCCUAUGGGUGUUAUUUUGGAUUUGUAUGAUGAAUGUACCAAAACUAUUCUUCAAUCUCUCAACGGCAUUUUGUCUCAUCCGGACGUUGAAGGCUUGCCGAUUUCCGCUGUAUUGGCGGUAGGAGGUUUUGCCGCGUCUGACUAUGUGGUCAAUGCCUUGCGAAAUGGGCUUAGCCAAAGAGGAAUCCGUGUACUGCGACCAAAUCAAGCCGAAAUAACCGUCGUUAAAGGCGCAGUUCCAUUUGGACAGAAGGAAGACAUUAUUUAUUCACGAAUAAUGCCUUACACAUACGGCGUUGGUUGCGUGAUUAAUUUCAACGAGCGACACAGAGCGGAUCACAAGAUUGAAGAUGGCGGAAAGGUCUUGGCUGUAAAUUGCUUCAGGAAAUACGUUUCCCGCGGCCAGACAGUAAAGCUUGGGGAAUGGAUUGGUCAAAAACCGUACUACCCAGAUGAUGACGCGCAAAGUUCAGCUUCAAUCCACGUUUUUGUCUCUGAUAAAACGGAUCCGACGCAUAUUGAUGAGAAGGGAUGCAAGUGAGUUGGGAAGUUUGAUGUUAAAAUACCAAAGUCUUCUCCCGACGACCAGAAAACACGAGCUGUACAGGUUGCGUUACAAUUUGGAGGCACGGAAUUGCAGGUGAAAGCAACCAGUCAUGAUGGAAAAACGGCAAUUGAAUGGUUACAAUACAAAUAAGUUGGGUGAUUAUAAAUAUUCAAGCUUAAAAACAAACGUUUUUAAAAUGCAGCUUGAUGUGCUCUGGAAUCUUUUUCUACUACUAAGCCGGCAAACUUAAAUUCGUUAAAUGCCAUAUGUACCCUUUGUUUUAAGUUUAUGCGCGCGCGAAUAGAUUUUUUUCAGUUUGUGAUACAGUAAUAUAUAAAAUAUGCGAAUUAAUAGACAAUUCAAUAGUAGUUAUGGACAUAUAUUUUGCUUGUGAAGUAACGAAUAUAAAUAUAAUUAACUUUUAUAUAUAAAUAUUUCAGUUUUAUCCGAACUCUACACGUUUCGCAUGUAUGUAAUAUGACGUAUAUAUGAUAUACUAAACAUUUUUACAAAAAUCACGACUUAAGACUUAAGGUCAAACGUUUCUUUUUGGUUUGCGUCAUAAACAAUUCAUUUUCAAAACUGUGUUGGUAAUAAGUUUGAUCUAUUUCACUUUGAUGUCGCUGCGUAAACUUUGGAUUACUCUGUUCAUUUUUUCUCCGUUAAAUCCUGUUAUAAACUAAUAUAAUAUACUAAGUUGUAUCAGGAAAAAUAUGCAUAUGAAAAGCGUUGUUGUGAGUGUUACCGAAAAGGGUUCUAUUAAUACUUCAAAAUGGCUUGGGAUACAGCGCAAGGUUGGAGAACGAAUGUUUAAUGGUAAUAUCAGUUUUUGUUUAGACUUAACGUGUAUGAAAGCAAUUUUUUUUUAAGAAGAAAGGGGGUCAUAACAAUGUAAAUAUACUAGAAUGUCAAAACAUGUAUUUUUAUUUUAUAUUAUUUUAUGUAAAUAUGAUAGAUUUUUUAUUCUUAAUACAUUUAUUUCAUUGCCGUUGCAUGUUUGGCUUUCGCUAAUAUAGGCCUUAUAAAGGAGAGUCGUAUAUAAGUAUUCAAAUCAUGCCCUUGUAUAAAAAAAUAGUAUGAACUUGAUCAACAGCGAUUACUUAAAAUGUACCGGAAAUGUUGUUUAACGUCAGCUGGUCAAAUGACAUAUCUUCGUUAAACUACCUGCGAAUAUGCGAAUAAACACAAAACGGUUUGUAUUACUGAUAGGAAAUUCUAUGUGCAAUCAACGUCUAAGCUGUGGUCAAAUCAAAGCCUGUUGAGAAGGCUCGUUUAUUUCUCAAUACAUCUCCACCCAAAACAAUCCUUACACAAAGUGUGCUUUUUCCUGAGAAUAUCAUAAGAAUGAGCAAUUGAUAGUAUUUUAUACUUCUUAAACAUUUUUUAUCUCGGGUCGAAAAUUCAAGGUCGUUUUCUUAAAAUAGGUGCAAACAAUAAAAGGUAUUUUAAUGUUCGUCCGAUGAAAGGUUUGGACCUGAUUAUUAAGAAUCAUUGAAAAGGCCUGGUACCUGGCUUUUCUAAGAUAAUAAACAUAUGUCGCCGGGUGAUGAAAAGUGUUAAGCCAGUCCGGAACUCGAUUCCCGAACCUCCCACUCUCAAAGACAGUACUCUACCGGGUGAGCUAACCGUGCUUCUAACACUUCUAAAUCACUAAGCCCGCUUACGUUCGGUACCGUUACGUUCUCCCCUGCCAAGUUGGAAUACGUACUCGACUUCACGAGUCCCGACGAACCCACGGGUACUUUCUUUGGAGAACUGAUUGUGCCACGGUCCCACGUUUGGCGCCAUGGUCGCAGGACGUGAAAAGUGCGCAGCCAAUCUAGGCCUCAGUACCUCUCGCUUACAAGGCGAGUGCUCUACCAUUGUGUUGCUUAAUUGUAAAACCAUUUUCUUUAUACAUGGUUAAUAUAUAGAGAAUAAUAGG
Molecule: long non-coding RNA, 3882 nt
Organism: Dreissena polymorpha
Lineage: Eukaryota; Metazoa; Mollusca; Bivalvia; Myida; Dreissenidae
Exons: 8
Source: RefSeq, a predicted model, not a curated record